UAAAUGUUUAUUUUUGAUUAUCUCAAAAUAUACCUUUCAGUUUUAUGUAAAUCGUUCGAAGUGUAGGAUAUAGUUCAAUUUUGAUUAUAUUUUGUGCAAAAAAGAAAAUUUUAUAACAAUCAAAAUGGUUUAUGAAUUCGAAUUUCACCGUCCAUCGUAUUACAAUUCACGGAUAUUUUCGUCGUAUUAUCCGCCUACCAAGUCCAACCGAUCAUCAGACGAAAGACCCUACAGUGCUGGAAGAUACUAUGCAAGUGUUGACAAAUUAGUUCGAGUGUGAAGUGUGAAUUUCCUUAAUGAAAUAAUAAUUUUUAAAUUAGAAGCCGUACUGGUCGUACAAUCCAUACAUCCCCCUUCCUUCUAGUUACAGUCCAUACACAUCCAGCUCUUUAUAUAAUCUGCCAGUCUACUCAUACAGAUAUAUAAAUCCCAAGCUACCGACUCUAACGGAGAUUUUGGCAAGGAAAGAAGUUAAUCGAUUCAGGAAUUGUGCCCGUUCAAAGUGUGUUGCAUUGGAGGUGGACAACUUUGACUUCAGCUCCUAUAAUGCAUCAAGGGAAAGAGUUCGGAAUGCGACUCGUGCUAGCAGUGUUCCACGUUUCGUUCGUGAGUCAAGCUUGCCACCGAGCUUCGACAGAUUUUUACGCAGCUCUUUAGAACGCGACUUGUUUUAAGAGAAGAGAAAAAUGUGCUGCUAAUAAAACGCUUCGCUUUUUACCCGAGCUGCUGCUGACGCAAUUCUAUGGUUGGCAUACCUUCUCUCUUCUCACCUUUCUGAAGCAGCACUUCUCACGACUUUUCAUCUAUGUAGAGCUAACAGCGAACAAAAUACCUUAGAACUGUUCCCAUUUAAACUUUUUGACAGAAAUACAAUGCAACUGUUUCCGUAACUU
This is a long non-coding RNA of Bradysia coprophila, 893 nucleotides long. Lineage: Eukaryota; Metazoa; Arthropoda; Insecta; Diptera; Sciaridae. The record is from RefSeq and is a predicted model, not a curated record.